This is a long non-coding RNA of Gossypium arboreum, 866 nucleotides long. RefSeq lists it as uncharacterized. NCBI's taxonomy places the organism in Eukaryota, Viridiplantae, Streptophyta, Magnoliopsida, Malvales, Malvaceae. The transcript is spliced from 3 exons. The record is from RefSeq and is a predicted model, not a curated record.
UAAAAGAAUGAAAAACAUAAAGCCAUUUAUUGGCAAAACAGAGGUUCACCAAACGGUGCAACCCGAAAAACAAGAAAACCCUAAAAAUAAAAAUAAAAACCUAAAGAAAAACACAUUAGCCUCGAUUCGUUUCUCCCAAAUCUCUUAAUCUCCAUUUUCACACCAGUAGCAUGGUAAAGGCUUCUUACCCGAAUCAGGGAUAAUGAAACAUCAGAAUUUUCAGCCCUUUGCCAAAACAAAACUGAGUUCUUCGGAAUCAAGACAAAAAUUUUCCAGUCUCAGCCUGUGUCCUUCGAAAUCAUUCAUUUUCAAAACCGAUCCUUUCUCUAUUUACAAUGUCUUCUACUGAAUUUGGAGCCUCCUCUAUCCAAUAUUUCGGUCAUUCAUAACUUCUUCCUUCUUUUGCUAGUGUGUGUGCUGCAGUAUUGGCCAAUCUAGUAGUUACCCCUUUAAUUACUGUCAACGCAUCACCUUCCACGCAGAUCUCUCUGAAACCUAAUUCCUCUCUAAAAGUGACCGCAUGCAAGUACGCCCAGGGUUCUGCUAGUUCUGGUGUCGAGAUGUUUAAGAACGGGUAAAUGCGUUUAAGAACGGAUCUUGCAGGAUUUUUCUUGUGAAUUUACAAUCUCGGAAUAGAUGUGCCACAGUUUCCUCAUCCUCCUUGCAAACUAGGCAACAAGCGUUUCUCAGCAAGCCUUUAUUUUUUAAAUUGUAAAGCGUAGGCAAAAACCCCAUCGAAAGUUUCCACACGUGUAUUCGGAUUUUAGCUGCUUCUUUAAUCUUCCAUAUCUUUGUAAAGAAAGUAUGCAUUCGAGAAUUCUGUGAAGCGGUAUUGUCUUCUUUAUUAAGUAAAUUUUCUGUAACAA